GACCUACCCGCCCAUCUCUCUAUCCACUCCUCCCGCAUGACUGGGCAGACAGCUCCUGCCGCCUGCAGCCGUCCUCACUCCCCGGGAUCACUGCAGACACGGUGCACGCACAGCCAGCCCCAGCAUGGCUGAGAACUCCAGCCCAAAGGAGACCCCUGCGGAGGGAGUGGGCGGCCCGGAGUCUCCCGCAGAAGAGCCCCCCUGUGUUGAGCUGAAAGCUGCUUUUGAGAAAUGCAUUAAAGAGAAGGGGAAAGAUGGAUGUAAGGAGUUCCUGGAAGCUUACCACUCAUGUCUGCGAGCGCUGGGCACACCCCAUCCAGAUCUAGAAGCCAACCCAACGCCGGCAAGUCACUGAGGGACCUGUUUGGCCAAGUCGUCUCGCUUCUCACCGUAACUCUCUGGCACUCGAGAAGUGAAGUUCCAGGGGGUGGAGAGGCCCAACGAGGCUGAACNGAACACUCCUUGAAGACACUCAACGAAGGGCUCUCGAGCGCAAUAAAGCCCUUGCAUUUUCCUCA
This 518-nucleotide long non-coding RNA is filed under the name Salvator merianae (Argentine black and white tegu). RNAcentral's name for it is "lncRNA (ENSSMRG00000020511.1)". The record is from RNAcentral. Lineage: Eukaryota; Metazoa; Chordata; Lepidosauria; Squamata; Teiidae.